Molecule: ribosomal RNA, 546 nt
Filed under: uncultured phototrophic eukaryote
Lineage: Eukaryota
Description: partial 16S ribosomal RNA
Rfam family: Bacterial small subunit ribosomal RNA
Source: RNAcentral
GGAACUCAAAGGAAUUGACGGGAGCCUACAACGAGUGGUGGAGCAUGUGGUUUAAUGCGAUAAUCCGCGCAAAACCUUACCAACCCUUGACAUAUUGAAAAAAAAUUUGAGUUUAUACGAAUUUUUUAUUAUUAAUUGACAAAUUAGUUAAUUUUCACUACAGGUGUUGCACGACUGUCGUCAGCUCGUGUCGUAAGAUGUUUGGUUCAUUCCUUUAACGAGCGCAACUCUUAUUUUUAAGAAUUUACUUUCAAUUUACAAUGUCUACAAUCAUCAUUUGUAGGCAUCGUAAAUUAUGCUUUAAAAAGACUGUGAAAAAAAAUUUCAUAGGAAGGUGAGAGUUAAGUCAAGUCACUGUGGCCCCUAUGGGUUGGGCUACACACGUGCUACAAUGAAAAUGACAAAAAGUACAAAAAUAAAAACUUUUAGUUAAUCUUUAAAAAUUUUCCUAGUUCGAAUUGUAAACUGCAACUCGUUUACAUGAAGGUGGAAUCACAGGUAAUCGCAAAUCAGGACGUUGCGGUGAAUACGUACCUUGGCUUUGUA